RNAcentral lists this ribosomal RNA (1521 nucleotides) under Bacteroides sp. canine oral taxon 040. Its description in RNAcentral is "bacterial SSU rRNA". It matches the Rfam family "Bacterial small subunit ribosomal RNA". The record is from RNAcentral. Lineage: Bacteria; Pseudomonadati; Bacteroidota; Bacteroidia; Bacteroidales; Bacteroidaceae.
GAGUUUGAUCCUGGCUCAGGAUGAACGCUAGCUACAGGCUUAACACAUGCAAGUCGAUGGGCAUCAUGGUAUUAGCUUGCUAAUACUGAUGGCGACCGGCGCACGGGUGAGUAACACGUAUCCAACCUGGCUUUCACUCAGGGAUAGCCCAUCGAAAGAUGGAUUAAUACUUGAUGGUAUAUACAUUUCGCAUGUUUUGUAUAUUAAAGAUUUAUCGGUGAUAGAUGGGGAUGCGUACCAUUAGUUUGUUGGCGGGGUAACGGCCCACCAAGACUUCGAUGGUUAGGGGUUCUGAGAGGAAGGUCCCCCACAUUGGAACUGAGACACGGUCCAAACUCCUACGGGAGGCAGCAGUGAGGAAUAUUGGUCAAUGGACGUAAGUCUGAACCAGCCAAGUAGCGUGAAGGAUGACUGCCCUCUGGGUUGUAAACUUCUUUUAUAUGUGAAUAAAUUUUCCUACGUGUAGGUUUUUGCAUGUAACAUAUGAAUAAGCAUCGGCUAACUCCGUGCCAGCAGCCGCGGUAAUACGGAGGAUGCGAGCGUUAUCCGGAUUUAUUGGGUUUAAAGGGAGCGUAGGUGGGUUAUUAAGUCAGCGUUGUGAAAGUUUGCGGCUCAACCGUAAAAUUGCCGUUGAUACUGAUAGUCUUGAGUUCAGUAGAGGUGUGCGGAAUUCGUGGUGUAGCGGUGAAAUGCUUAGAUAUCACGAAGAACUCCAAUUGCGUAGGCAGCUCACUAUACUGUUACUGACACUGAUGCUCGAAAGUGUGGGUAUCAAACAGGAUUAGAUACCCUGGUAGUCCACACAGUAAACGAUGAAUACUCGCUGUUUGCGAUAUAGUGUAAGCGGCCAAGCGAAAGCGUUAAGUAUUCCACCUGGGGAGUACGCCGGCAACGGUGAAACUCAAAGGAAUUGACGGGGGCCCGCACAAGCGGAGGAACAUGUGGUUUAAUUCGAUGAUACGCGAGGAACCUUACCUGGGCUUAAAUAUUAGAUGCAUAACAUAGAGAUAUGUUUUUCUUCGGACUUCUAUUAAGGUGCUGCAUGGUUGUCGUCAGCUCGUGCCGUGAGGUGUCGGCUUAAGUGCCAUAACGAGCGCAACCCUAAUGUUUAGUUACUAACAGUUUAUGCUGAGGACUCUAGACAGACUGCCGUCGUAAGAAGUGAGGAAGGUUAGGAUGACGUCAAAUCAGCACGGCCCUUACGUCCAGGGCUACACACGUGUUACAAUGGGGGGUACAGAAGGUUGCUACACGGCGACGUGAUGCUAAUCCCAAAAACCUCUCUCAGUUCGGAUUGGAGUCUGCAACCCGACUCCAUGAAGCUGGAUUCGCUAGUAAUCGCGCAUCAGCCACGGCGCGGUGAAUACGUUCCCGGGCCUUGUACACACCGCCCGUCAAGCCAUGAAAGCCGGGGGUACCUGAAGUACGUAACCGUAAGGAGCGUCCUAGGGUAAAUCUGGUGAUUGGGGCUAAGUCGUAACAAGGUAGCCGUACCGGAAGGUGCGGCUGGAUCACCUCCUU